UCUCCGUUGGUGAACCAGCGGAGGGAUCAUUAUAGAGUUUUUAACUCCCAAACCAUUGUGAACUUACCACUGUUGCCUCGGCGGAAGCUACCCGGUACCUACCCUGUAACGUCCUGCCGGUGGACCUUUAAACUCUUGUUAUUUUAUAGUAAUCUGAGCGUCUUAUUUUAAUAAGUCAAAACUUUCAACAACGGAUCUCUUGGUUCUGGCAUCGAUGAAGAACGCAGC
This 228-nucleotide unclassified non-coding RNA is filed under the name uncultured fungus. RNAcentral's name for it is "sequence contains ITS1, 5.8S rRNA gene". The stretch from base 180 to 228 matches the Rfam family "5.8S ribosomal RNA", at positions 1 to 49 of the family's 154-position model. The record is from RNAcentral. Lineage: Eukaryota; Fungi.